This 295-nucleotide long non-coding RNA is filed under the name Nicotiana benthamiana. Its description in RNAcentral is "long non-coding RNA (NBEN_LNC022116)". Lineage: Eukaryota; Viridiplantae; Streptophyta; Magnoliopsida; Solanales; Solanaceae. The record is from RNAcentral.
CAACAACAACAACAACUACCCAGUAUACUCCCACCAGGUCGGGUCUGGGGAAGGUAAUAUGUAGACAGCCUUACCCCUACCCAAAAGGGCAGAGAGGCUGCUUCCAAGCGACCCUCGGCGCAUAGGACAGAAUGAAGAGCUGCAUUGGAAAACAAAGAAGACAAAGAUAAAGUUAGGAACCCAGACAAGACAAAACACAGUAACAAAACAAAGCAUAAGUAAUCCUGUAGAAAUAACGUAAAUGAUUAUGCAAACAUAAGAAACAUAAAUACCGUCGCAUGCGACAAUAACNNNN